Molecule: microRNA precursor, 95 nt
Filed under: Felis catus (domestic cat)
Lineage: Eukaryota; Metazoa; Chordata; Mammalia; Carnivora; Felidae
Also listed under: 4 other names
Description: mir-544 microRNA precursor family
Rfam family: mir-544 microRNA precursor family
Source: Rfam by way of RNAcentral
AUCACCUGGGAUGUUAUUAAGAUGCAGAUUCUGAUUCAGUAAAUCUGAGGAAGACUAAGGUUCUGCAUUUCUAACAAGCUCCCAGGUGAUGCCAA